RNAcentral lists this unclassified non-coding RNA (1427 nucleotides) under Hevea brasiliensis (rubber tree). Lineage: Eukaryota; Viridiplantae; Streptophyta; Magnoliopsida; Malpighiales; Euphorbiaceae. The record is from RNAcentral.
AUUUACUUUUCUUCAUUCGCUCUGUCCUCUCUCUUCUCUGUUUCUGUAGUAGCCAUGUGUGUGAUUUCAGAAGAAUCCAUCGCUCAGUUUGAAGCUUUAAUGGAACAAGUUGAUGAAUCACUCAAAACUACUUUUCAGAAUGUUCAUCAAGGUUGUACAAGGGAUACAUAUCUGCGGUUCCUAAUAGCAAGAGAGGGAAAUGUUGCAAAUGCUCAUAAAAUGUUGGUUGAUUCUUUGAAUUGGAGAGUCAAAAAUGAGAUAGAUGAUAUUUUAUCGAAACCUAUCAUUCCUACUGAGCUUUACAGAUCAAUUCGUGAUUCUCAACUAAUAGGAAUGCCAGGUUACACGAAAGAGGGCCUUCCAGUAUUCGCUUUUGGUGCAGGACUCAGCACAUAUGAUAAAGCAUCGGUCCAUUAUUAUGUGCAAUCACACAUUCAGUUCAAUGAAUAUCGCGAUCGUGUAAUUCUGCCUGCUGCAAGUAAGAAGUAUGGGAAACGUAUCAGCAAAUCUCUGAAGGUUUUAGAUAUGACCGGCUUGAAACUUUCAGCUCUAAACCAAAUAAAGCUAUUGACUAUAAUUUCCUCAAUUGAUGACCUUAAUUACCCGGAGAAGGUAGUUGCAUACUACAUUGUCAAUGCUCCCUAUAUCUUUUCAGCCUGUUGGAAGGUAGUCAAACCUCUUCUACAGGAGAGAACCCGAAAAAAGGUUCAAGUUUUAUCAGGUUGUGGACAGGAUGAUCUAUUGAAGAUCAUGGACUAUUCGUCACUGCCCCAUUUUUGCCGGAGAGAAGGUUCUGGAUCUUCCAAAUACUCAGGCAGCUCAAGUGAAAAUUGUUAUUCCCUGGAUCAUCCAUUCCACCAGCAACUUUAUGAUUACAUAAAGCAGCAGGCAUUGCUUCGCAGACCUGUUCGGCCAGUUAAACAGGGCUCUGUCCAUGUGGAUUUUCCUGAUGCUGUCACUGAGGGGACUGAGUUUGUUCAGACGUUGGCAUCAGAAUUUCAAAAGUUCGGUAAGCAAAAUGGACUUUCUCAAUCACUAGAUGAUCUUAAUAUCAAUGAUCAUCAAGCAUAGAUAAUAAGAGUUUGGGUCAUUAUGCACUCGCUGACAAUUCUGGAUUCUCAUGCAAGUACAGUAUUAAUAGCUCGAGCAGUAUAGCAGAGGUUUUCUCCUAAUUAGACGCCUCACUCAAAUUUUAUAUGUUAUAGUUGCACGAGGGGUAUUUUCAAUAUACCAAGUAUGUAUAGGGGAGAUGCGGUUGACAUGUAUUAUUGUUAUGUUAGAUGUACAUAAGAGGCAUAUGUUGCCUGAGCUCUUACUAGUCAUCGCAUGUAUUAAUAAUACAAAUUAUCCAUCACUGAUGCUGACCCUUUUAUGUAUUGACACUAUGAUAUAAAUAAUGUCCAGCACAAUCCUGAAAGCUGGUUUGA